UACGGAGGGGACUAGCGUUGUUCGGAAUUACUGGGCGUAAAGCGCGCGUAGGCGGACCUGCAAGUCGGGGGUGAAAUCCCGAGGCUCAACCUCGGAACUGCCUUCGAUACUGCGGGUCUCGAGUCCGGGAGAGGUGAGUGGAAUUCCUAGUGUAGAGGUGAAAUUCGUAGAUAUUAGGAAGAACACCAGUGGCGAAGGCGGCUCACUGGCCCGGUACUGACGCUGAGGCGCGAAAGCGUGGGGAGCAAACAGG
This 253-nucleotide ribosomal RNA is filed under the name uncultured bacterium. Its description in RNAcentral is "partial 16S ribosomal RNA". It matches the Rfam family "Bacterial small subunit ribosomal RNA", at positions 524 to 776 of the family's 1533-position model. The record is from RNAcentral.